UGCAUUUUGACCAGCUGGUUUCGUCUGGGCAAAUAAAAUGGUUGCUUAACAAUCAGGUAGCAAUGUGUUCUUUGGAGAGAGGAUGAUAAUAGUUUUAGUACUUGUGUAAUUAUAAUUCAAAAGAAGGUAGGUUAUCCAAUCAGCAUCAACUCCUGUUUUACUCAAGGUCAAUAGUAGUGACGUUUAUUAGAUGAAGGCCAGACUCUUGGUACAUGUUGUAGAACAAGGACUGGAUUGUAAGCCAAACAGACUAGAGGUAAGGCUACCACAGCAAUUGAAAACCUUGUAAAAAGCCUUUCACUCAUUUGAUUUGACUCUGCAAUGUUUCUCCUGAAACCCCUGUAAUACUGCCUGUGCACUGAGUUAGAACCAGGAAAACAUGAAUCUUCCCCACAAAUAGUGUCUGGAUAUAUCUAGAAGGCUCUUACUGUAUUAUGGUUGGGACCAGGUGGCUUGUGCUGAGACUAGUUGAGGAACUGGCUGCUGUGUCACUGGAGUUGAGCUCUGUUCUUCCUGUAGUAUGGUGUAAUGUGACUGAAAUGUUGGUGGGUGGGGGGCAACUGGUGAUCAAGACCCUUUUGUCUGUGUAUGUGUUUUUAGUUUGUAUGAUUGCAGAACCAACAAAUACAGGGCUUACUAGAGGACAGGGUUUCUGGAACAAUGGUUGCCCAAUCUUCUGAUUUAGCUGGAAAAUUAUUUUGCAUUAGCCUUGCAUGUGACCAGUCAGUAUCUUUAAUGUGUCAAGCACACCAUAUUGGCAAUGCUUUGCAUCUGACUGUCAAUUCAUGCAAUUAACAUCAAGUCUUUGUUUGCUCAACUCACAUGUUGUCAUCUAGAACCCAACCCCUUGAGCACUGUAAGGAGAUACGCUGUCUGUGGUGAUGUGUACAUUGGAAUAUACAGUGUGAGUCACUGUUAUCCUCUUUAGUAUAGUUUAGAACAUAAUUUUUUUUUGUGUAGGACACUGUCAUUUUCUGUAGUAUAGAUAGUAAAUGACUCAAAACAUUUGAGAUAUGCACUCAGUUUGCACACAUUUGGCCUUGUUCAAAGAACUGACUUAACAGCUUUGAUCAUGUUUAAUGCAAACACAGCUGUAGCUUUAUUAAACAUUUUUAUUAACGCAGACUAAAUUACCAUUUGUUUAUUCAUCAGUGUAUUCAUUGGUUUAUUGGGUGGGUGUACAAAGUUGACUAUUUUGGCAUAUCAUACAUUUUUGUUCCCUUCCAGAAAAUGUCAUGCUUUUUAACUCCACUCAACUGAACUAUUUUAAAUUGGAGCAGGUUGGGAGUAUGAGGGAAAUAGUAGUUUGUACAGUACAUAUUCAGUAUAAUAGUUUGUGAACUAGCUUCUAACAUUGUGUUCAAAUAGGGUAUCAAUAGAUAUCUGGCAGAACACCAUGGCACACUACAACUGAGAGGUUGUAUAUAAAAAUAUUUUUUCAUGAUAAUAGUCAUUUAAAAAAAAUGCUUUUAGUUUUGUAUGGGAUUAUGUGAAAUGUUUUGCAUAUGAGUGUCGUCCACAAGCAGGUCCCCUGGUUUAAAAAAAGAAAGGGAAGUAUCCACUGGUUAUACCUUACCAAAGUGAUGGGAAAUUGACCAGUUCAUCUUCUGCACAGGGCCAGAUGGGAGUUGGAACUCUCCCUGCCCUCCGGAAACAGGGGUUUUAGACAAACAUUUCUCAGUAGAACACUGGGUUUGGUGCCAUCUCUCCUGACGCUGGCCAUGCAGAAAAUACCACGCCGGGCGGCUUAGGUUGCUGCUGUAUCCGCUACCUCGGGCCAUAAAAGGUAUUGACCGCUAGACAAUUAUGUGUUGCUCAUUGAAGCCACAUUCCACGAUGCAUAGUCUUCCAUUCAAUCCCAGUUUAUUGGUAGUUUUUGUCCAUUUGCGUUGCUAACUAUCACAACCAGUUAGUCAGGCAGAAUGGAACAAUACGAACAUUGGCACGCAAUGCUAGUAUGAGGACACAACUUGUAGCCAAGCCAAUAUUGAGUUCUGCUGUUUGUAUUUUAGACCAUCUCAAUCAUUCAGUUCAGUGUUAUGAAAAGGGAAAAAUCUGGCCCGCGUUUGAGAUGCAAUUUAUAGGACCUGGGAAGCGUAGCAAAUGGGAGGCUUAAUGUUUCGCUUUGCCCUGUUCAAGGUGUGAUUGUUAAAUGUUUUCAGUGAUAAAGUGACUGAAUAAAAGGUAACCGUAGGUUUCUUCCUUUUUCCAUUUGACAUGCAGUUUUGUCCAUCCUGUUUCCUAUUGUCCUGUGAAAAAUGGAGAUUACAGAUUAAAAGAUGCAUUCCUUAACCAAGUCACUCACACCUCAUGUAUCGUCAUCCAUUUCUGACGGAGGGAAAGAGUGGGAUGCAAUGAGCUGGGUCUUACACCAGUGAAAACAGUACAAUAUUCACAAUUGGACUAAUGCCCUUGUGAUAUGGGACCAUGGGGUGCAAUGGUAGAGGACCGAUUUGGUGUUGAGUGCAUAGAGAAGCACGUGGGGAGACCUUGUCUGUUGUGUAAUUUUCUAUCAUAUUCCUUGUUCUCCAAGGUCCUCAUUUCUUCUGUCUUCAUCAUUCCCAGGGGAAAUUGUGCCAAAUGUUUUUGUCUAAUAUAUCUCCCAUUCCACUCAUGUCAUGGGGAUUGAAAUGUUGUCUAGAUUACUUUCAACAAAAUAAUUCUAGUGGCAAUAGACUAGAUUUUGAUUUGGCAUGAAGAACUGCUGUGAUGCUCAGGGUACAAAAAAAUAAUAAGUGUACUUUAGCUCCUUUUAGUCUGUAAUAGUGACACUGAAGGUGUGAUGUAACAGUAGGAUUGUACUUUUGUUUCUCUGACUUUCAAUGUCUAAGUCUUAAAGGGUCAUGUUUAAAUUCCACCUUGGUUUGAAAAGUUCACUAAGGGAUCUUGCAAUCAAAAGUUGUUUUAACAUUUUGCUCUGGUUUUCACCAUAUUUAUGUCUGAUUUGCUGUAAUCUGUCCUACUUUUUUCAAAGUAGUUUUUCCAGAUCCUCCUUUGACAUCUUGCUGUAAUACAUUUGUUUUGAAAGUUGUCUUGUAAGCCGAUGAUCAAAUGAGGCUACUCUAUAACACAUUUAUUGACACCAUUGAUUUCUUACUAAAAUGUAUGAUUAUUCAUGUUGCAAUUAAAUAAAAAAAAUAAAAAAGAUUUUGC
Molecule: long non-coding RNA, 3153 nt
Organism: Esox lucius (northern pike)
Lineage: Eukaryota; Metazoa; Chordata; Actinopteri; Esociformes; Esocidae
Source: Ensembl